CGACCGUCUUGCAAUAUAAACGAAUAGAGGUAAUGACAUAGGUGCUAGAUAGAGUUGUACCUUUCGCAACAUCGAAGCCGGGCAUCUCAGGCCAGGAUAAGCGAUUUUGCUCUAUGGUUAGCUUUUAGGGGCAUUCUUUGGCCUAUAGGCUGCUUUAGACGCACCUGCAUACCAAGGGGUCCGCGUAGGUACUGCCGUAGUGUUGGGUGUCUCGGAGGGGCCAUGUAGGUACUACCCCAUCUUUCCGAGGUCGAGGGAGCUUAGGCUCGCUGUUGAUCUGGUGAUGCUUUUCGAGGUCGAGGGAGUUUGGGACUCUACGGUCGACAUACGGAGCAUCCCGACCUUGGUCGAGGUUUUUGAGGGAGAUCAAGUCCAAGCUCGACGUCGGCGUGGUGAGGUGUUCCAGACUUGGCUGGGGCAUCCGAACUCAGUCGGGUUUUCUGAAGAUCACAAAUAUCCCAAUAUCAGGAAAAGCACGGAACAAUUAAGGAGAGUUAUGAAUAAAUUAUCAGGAGAAAGAGGCAAGAGUUGCGUUUUCAAGUGUUGUGG
Molecule: long non-coding RNA, 549 nt
Filed under: Phoenix dactylifera (date palm)
Lineage: Eukaryota; Viridiplantae; Streptophyta; Magnoliopsida; Arecales; Arecaceae
Description: long non-coding RNA (PDAC_LNC009324)
Source: RNAcentral